GAUGAACGCUGGCGGCGUGCUUAACACAUGCAAGUCGAACGAAGCAUUUAAGACAGAUUACUUCGGUUUGAAGUUUUUUAUGACUGAGUGGCGGACGGGUGAGUAACGCGUGGGUAACCUGCCUCAUACAGGGGGAUAGCAGCUGGAACCGGCUGGUAAUACCGCAUAAGCGCACAGUACCACAUGGUACAGUGUGAAAAACUCCGGUGGUAUGAGAUGUACCCGCGUCUGAUGAGCUGGUUGGCGGGGUAACGGCCCACCAAGGCGACGAUCAGUAGCCGACCUGAGAGGGUGACCGGCCACAUUGGGACUGAGACACGGCCCAGACUCCUACGGGAGGCAGCAGUGGGGAAUAUUGCACAAUGGAGGAAACUCUGAUGCAGCGACGCCGCGUGAGUGAAGAAGUAGUUCGCUAUGUAAAGCUCUAUCAGCAGGGAAGAUAGUGACGGUACCUGACUAAGAAGCUCCGGCUAAAUACGUGCCAGCCGCCGCAGUAA
This 497-nucleotide ribosomal RNA is filed under the name uncultured bacterium. Its description in RNAcentral is "partial 16S ribosomal RNA". It matches the Rfam family "Bacterial small subunit ribosomal RNA", at positions 28 to 523 of the family's 1533-position model. The record is from RNAcentral.